UCAGACGAUGCGUCAUGCAUAUCAAUAAGCGGAGGAAAAGAAACUAACAAGGAUUCCCCUAGUAACGGCGAGUGAAGCGGGAAGAGCUCAAAUUUGAAAUCUUAAAGGGUUUCCCUUUACGAAUUGUAGUUUAAAGAAGUGUUUUCUGUUGAGGUUUUGGUAAAAGUUCUUUGGAAUAGGACAUCAUAGAGGGUGAGAAUCCCGUAUUUGACCUUUACUUUCAACUUUGUGAUACACUUUCAAAGAGUCGGAUUGUUUGGGAAUGCAGUCCAAAAUGGGUGGUAAAUUUCAUCUAAAGCUAAAUAUUGGCGAGAGACCGAUAGCGAACAAGUACCGUGAGGGAAAGAUGAAAAGAACUUUGAAAAGAGAGUUAAACAGUACGUGAAAUUGUCAAAAGGGAAGCGUUUGACACCAGUGUUGUUUUUCUGAAAAUCAAUUAAAGAACUGUUUAUGCUAAGUUGUUUAGACUUUAUCAGCUAUCUGUUUAGUUUUGAGCUUUUCUUUAAUGCACUUUUCCAGUUAACAAGUCCAACAUCAAUUUCUUUUGCUGUAAAAAAGCUUGAGGAAGGUGGCUUGAGAUUCGUCUUAAGUGUUUAUAGCCUCUUGCCUAUGCAGUCGGAGAGAUUGAGGUCUGCAGCGUAGAUCCUUCGGGGCUAAAUGCAUUUGUGCUAAGUUAUAGCAUUUUAUAGACAACUUGUUGACUAUGAUUUGUCUUGUAGCUUACUCGCUUAUGUUAUUUUACCUACGCUUAGGAUGUUGACACACGCGCGUGCUCG
RNAcentral lists this ribosomal RNA (776 nucleotides) under uncultured Neocallimastigales. RNAcentral describes it as "partial large subunit ribosomal RNA". It matches the Rfam family "Eukaryotic large subunit ribosomal RNA", at positions 18 to 656 of the family's 3401-position model. The record is from RNAcentral. Lineage: Eukaryota; Fungi; Neocallimastigomycota; Neocallimastigomycetes; Neocallimastigales.